RNAcentral lists this ribosomal RNA (212 nucleotides) under uncultured bacterium. RNAcentral's name for it is "partial 16S ribosomal RNA". It matches the Rfam family "Bacterial small subunit ribosomal RNA", at positions 311 to 525 of the family's 1533-position model. The record is from RNAcentral.
CGCCCGCGCGCGGCGGGCCUACGGGAGGCAGCAGUGGGGAAUACUGCACAAUGGGCGCAAGCCUGAUGCAGCCAUGCCGCGUGUAUGAAGAAGGCCUUCGGGUUGUAAAGUACUUUCAGCGGGGAGGAAGGUGUUGAGGUUAAUAACCUCAGCAAUUGACGUUACCCGCAGAAGAAGCACCGGCUAACUCCGUGCCAGCAGCCGCGGUAAUA